This 499-nucleotide ribosomal RNA is filed under the name uncultured bacterium. RNAcentral's name for it is "partial 16S ribosomal RNA". It matches the Rfam family "Bacterial small subunit ribosomal RNA", at positions 28 to 507 of the family's 1533-position model. The record is from RNAcentral.
GACGAACGCUGGCGGCGUGCCUAAUACAUGCAAGUCGAGCGAAGUUUUUCUGGUGCUUGCACCGGAAAAACUUAGCGGCGAACGGGUGAGUAACACGUAAAGAACCUGCCUCAUAGACUGGGACAACUAUUGGAAACGAUAGCUCAUACCGGAUAACAGCAUUAACUGCAUGGGUGAGGUUUAAAAGUUGGUUUUGCUAACACUAUGAGAUGGCUUUGCGGUGCAUUAGCUAGUUGGUGGGGUAAAGGCCUACCAAGGCGACGAUGCAUAGCCGACCUGAGAGGGUGAUAGGCCACACUGGGACUGAGACACGGCCCAGACUCCUACGGGAGGCAGCAGUAGGGAAUCUUCCGCAAUGGGCGAAAGCCUGACGGAGCAACGCCGCGUGAGUGAAGAAGGAUUUCGGUUCGUAAAGCUCUGUUGUUAGGGAAGAAUGAUUGUGUAGUAACUAUACACAGUAGAGACGGUACCUAACCAGAAAGCCACGGCUAACUACGUG